RNAcentral lists this ribosomal RNA (1464 nucleotides) under uncultured prokaryote. Its description in RNAcentral is "partial 16S ribosomal RNA". It matches the Rfam family "Bacterial small subunit ribosomal RNA". The record is from RNAcentral.
GGCGUGGUUGAUACAUGCAAGUCGAGCGGGAACGUUUCCUUCGGGGAACUAGUACAGCGGCGGACGGGUGAGUAAUACAUGGUCAAUCUGCCCUCGAGACCGGGAUAGCCACUCGAAAGGGUGGGUAAUACCGGAUAAGACCACGGACCCGCAUGGGUUUGUGAUAAAAAGGUUGGGAUCUUCGGACCUUCCGCUUGAGGAUGAGACCAUGACCUAUUAGCUUGUUGGUGGGGUAACGGCCUACCAAGGCUUUGAUGGGUAGCCGGCUUGAGAGGGUGGACGGCCACACUGGAACUGAGACACGGUCCAGACUCCUACGGGAGGCAGCAGUGCUGAAUCAUUCGCCAAUGCGCGAAAGCGUGACGGUGCGACGCCGCGUGCGGGAUGAAGGCUUUCGAGUUGUAAACCGCUGUCAGGAUAUAGAAACCCGUAGUCGUUAAUAGCGGCUACGCUGAUCAUAUCCAGAGGAAGCACAGGCUAAUCUCGUGCCAGCAGCCGCGGUAAUACGAGAUGUGCGAGCGUUGUUCGGAAUCACUGGGCGUAAAGGGUGCGUAGGCGGCCAAGUCAGUCAGGUGUGAAAGCCCCCGGCUCAACCGGGGAAUUGCACUUGAUACUGCUUGGCUUGAGGUCGAGAGGGGCAAGUGGAAUUCCAGGUGUAGCGGUGGAAUGCGUAGAUAUCUGGGAGAACGCCCACGGCGAAGGCAGCUUGCUGGCUCGAUCCUGACGCUGAGGCACGAAAGCUAGGGGAGCAAACAGGAUUAGAUACCCUGGUAGUCCUAGCCGUAAACGAUGGGCACUAGGUAUCGGGACCCCUGACGGUCUCGGUGCUGUAGCAAACGCGUUAAGUGCCCCGCCUGGGGAGUAUGGUCGCAAGGCUAAAACUCAAAGGAAUUGACGGGGGCUCACACAAGCGGUGGAGCAUGUUGUUUAAUUCGAAGCAACGCGAAGAACCUUACCUGGGCUUGACAUGCAGGAAGUACGAACCUGAAAGGGGAACCACCGGUAUCCAGUCCGGAACCAUCACAGGUGCUGCAUGGCUGUCGUCAGCUCGUGUCGUGAGACGUUGGGUUAAGUCCCGUAACGAGCGAAACCCUUGUCGUCUGUUGCUACCAGGUUAUGCUGGGCACUCUGGCGAGACUGCCGGUGUUAAACCGGAGGAAGGUGGGGACGACGUCAAGUCAUCAUGGUCCUUACGUCCAGGGCCACAAACGUGCUACAAUGGCAGGUACAGAGAGACGCAAUACCGCGAGGUGGAGCAAAUCUUCAAAACCUGCCCCAGUUCAGAUUGGAGGCUGAAAUUCGCCUCCAUGAAGGUGGAAUCGCUAGUAAUCGCGGAUCAGCUAUGCCGCGGUGAAUACGUUCCUGAGCCUUGUACACACCGCCCGUCAAGCCACCCAAGCUGGAGGUACCCGAAGUCCGGCAAUAAUUGUCCGGCCUAAGGUGAGUCUAGUGAGGGGGACUAAG